This 13035-nucleotide long non-coding RNA is filed under the name Lathyrus oleraceus (garden pea). Its description in RNAcentral is "Pisum sativum (pea) long non-coding RNA (PSAT_LNC030602)". The record is from RNAcentral. Lineage: Eukaryota; Viridiplantae; Streptophyta; Magnoliopsida; Fabales; Fabaceae.
UUUGAUGCUGUUAUAUUUUAUUUGUUGCAGUUAUUUUUUAUUUGACAGUUAUUGUGCAGUUAUGUUUUAUUUGUUUUCAGUGUGUAUGUUUGUGAUAGAAACCAAUUGAUACACAAAAGGAAAUAGGAAAAAUCCCUCUGAAUUACAAAAUAAUACCGCAGAAUUUCAAGGGUCAGCACCUCCUCUAAUGACAAAAUGGCCCCUUUCCAACCAAAUUCCAUCCUCUCUCUAAAUCACCCUCUCUAUUUAUAGGUAACUCUCAUUCUCCUAAUUAAUUAAUUCCUAUUCUAAAACUGCAUUUACAAAUGACAUUUAUCUUUAAUAAAAACUGCCUACUAAUAAUAAAAUUGUCUUCUAUUUACUAACAAGACCUUUACUAUCCUAAUUAAGACGCCUCGUGACUAACAAUAUGAUAGAAACCAACUGAUAUAUAAAGGAAAAUAGGGAAAACCCCUUUGAAUUACAAAAUAGUAUUGCUGAACUUCGAGGGGGGUCUGCACCUCCCAAUGCCAAAAUGACCCAUUUUCCUAUUCAAUUCCAAAUUGAUUAACUCCCCAAUAUCUUCCCUUAUUUAUUCUAAUAAUUUCCCACUAACUCCUAAUAAUUUAAUAUCAGUUACAAAACUGAAGAGUCUAACAAUACUCCCCCCUAAAGAUUCACCUUGCCCUCAGGGUGAAAGAAAUACACGGAAGGAAAAAUGUAUCCUCCUGGAUCCCAUAAUUUGAAAAAUAAAGGGUGAGUUGUACAUGAAAUAGGAAAUUUUCUUGCUAAUAGCAGUCCUCUUGUGACCAGUUGUUGUGGCCACAGUGGCACCGGUAGUGGAAAUUUCUUGUUCUUAGACUUUAUCUUAGGAAUAGUAGCAAACACCAACGAUAGUGAGUCUUUUGCUUGUGAUGAAAUAGCUGAAUCUCCAUCACUUCUCUGGACCUCUGCUUCACUGACAGCCAUCAAUGAAUCUGUAUUUUUCACUUUGUCGCCCUCGCAAUCAGAUUUGAUAUCCACUUUACAAACUUCUUUUUCACUGUAUUGUUGGAUUUGUGAAUAUUCAACUUUACCACUAUUCUUUUCUUCAGUUGGAGAUGCUAUUGGUUCUUGAAUUUCAUCGCUGCCUUGGAUUUCCUGUGUUUCGUUUUCAGACUCCAGUAGACAAUCCCAAACUUCUGGUUGGAACUUCUUGAGAAUGGCCUUUACAAAAUUCCACCAACAAGUAUUUGAAUGACUCUCCUUCCAAGAAAUCCACCAAUCAAGAGCAUCUCCUCUCAAUGCAAAUGCAACAGUCCACUCAAGCUUCAUCUCUUCACUCAUUCUUCUUGACCCAAAAUAUUGUUCUGCUUGGAUCAACCACCAAUAGGCCUCUCUUCCAUCAAAUCUUGGAAUCAUAUCAGCAGCCAUAUUUAUGCCAAAAUUUCCAGCACAACGGUAGAAUCUUUCUGGAUCAGAAUUGCUCUAAUACCCGUUGAUAGAAACCAACUGAUAUAUAAAGGAAAAUAGGGAAAAGCCCUUUGAAUUACAAAAUAGUAUCGCAGAACUUCGAGGGUCUGCACCUCCCAAUGCCAAAAUGGCCCAUUUUCCUAUUCAAUUCCAAAUUGAUCAACUCCCCAAUGUGUUCCCCUAUUUAUUCUAAACCUAAACACUCUUAAUUAAUAAUAUAAUUAUUCUAAUAAUUUUCCACUAACUCCUUAUAAUUAUUCACCUUUCUUCACUUUUGCUUUUACCUUUGAGCAAUCCGAAACAACAAACUCAAAGCCUCAAUUUUUAUUAGAGCUCUCUUCUUUUCUCCUUCUUCUAUGACCAUGGAUAUAAUGUUUUCUUGAUAAUUCCUUGAUUCCACUUCUUCAUCCUCUAUUGAAUCAGUUUCUGGCCGAAAUUGCUUGAUAAUUGCCUUUGUAAAAUUCCCCCAAGUGGCAAUUGGAUUGCCUGAAACCCAUAAUUGGUACUAUGCAACAUAUCUACCUGCCUGAAACCCAUAAUUGGUACUAUGCAACAUAUCUACCACUCAUCCACCGCACAACUUUUGGUAUUUGAUUUUCUUCUUAACAUAAACCUCCAGCAUCAAAAUAUUUCUCAACCUUGUCAUUCGUAACUCUUUGAGUACUCUUCUCCAAUCUAUAAAUUCCUUCAACAUAUCAUCAAAAAUACCAAACAUUCCUUCCAUUUGAUGACCACUCAAUUUUUUCCCUUUUUUUUCUGUCCCGGAUCAAAAGUGCUCUCAUACCAGUUGAUAGAUACCAACUGAUACACAAAAAGAAAUAGGGAAAAUCCUUAACUUUGAGAGUUUCCACCUCCUCUAAUAGCAAAAUGGCCCAUUUCCAACCAAAUUCCAAGAUAUCCUCUCUCUCAAUCACCCCCUCUAUUUAUAGGCAACACUCUCAUUCUCCAAAUUAAUUAAUUCCUAUUCUAAAAUUGCGGUUACAAAUGAUAGUUACUGCAAUUACAAAUGACCGUUAUCUUUAAUAAAAACUGCCUACUAAUGAUAAAAUUGCCUAUCGUUCUUUUACGACCAGGGAUAUAAUGUUUUCUUGAUAAUUCCUUGAUUCCACUUCUUCAUUCUCUAUUGAAUCAGUUUCUGGCCGAAAUUGCUUGAAAAUUGCCUUUGUAAAAUUUCCCCAAGUGGCAAUUGAAUUGCCUGAAACCCAUAAUUGGUACUAUGCAACAUAUCUACCACUCAUCCACCGCACAACUUUUGGUAUUUGAUUUUCUUCUUAUAAACCUCCAGCAUCAAAAUAUUUCUCAACCUUGUCAUCCGUAACUCUUUGAGUACUCUUCUCCAAUCUAUAAAUUCCUUCAACAUAUCAUCAAAAAUACCAAACAUUCCUUCCAUUUGAUGACCACUCAAUUUUUUCCCUUUUUUUUCUGUCCAGGAUCAAAAGUGCUCUCAUACCGGUUGAUAGAUAUCAACUGAUACACAAAAAGAAAUAGGGAAAAUCCUUAACUUCGAGGGUCUACACCUCCUCUAAUAGCAAAAUGACCCAUUUCCAACCAAAUUCCAAGAUAUCCUCUAAUAGCAGUUUGUAAUAAGAAUAAAUAGGAAAAGGGGCCAGAUAGAGGGGGUUAUCUUGGAACUAGGUGGUUAGUGAGAGAGACCAAACUCUUCAACAUUUAGAAAGGGUAAAGGCCAAGGCUCUUGAAAUCGUAGUUAUUAUGUGAAAUUUGUGUGAUUCUAUUAAGUUAAAUCUGUUUGUAUCAAUCAAUAUCAGAAAUAGUCCCAAAUCUAUUUUGCAUUGGACGGGUACCUAUCAAUUACUUAGUAAUUUCAAUACAUCAUAUUCAAUAGAUUGCAGACUCUAAAAUGAAGAUUCGAUUAACCUAUUACUGAAUUAUUUUAAUUUUUUCCAAUAUAAGAGAAAAAAAAUUAUGACAUGAGAGAAAGAAAAGGUUCAACAGAAAAGAAUGAGAUGUUCUUCUGAAGUAAAUCACAAUAAGAAAAAACAAAUAAACGAGAAAAAGUACAGUCCGUCAGCAAAGUUCUCCAAUGAAUGUAUCCUAAUUUGAUACAGGCAGAAUGGAUAUGCAGUACCUUAAGUUUUGAGGUUGUUAUCUCCAUCUUAAGAAGCACUCUCUCCAAACCUCUACAAACCUCAUCCUUUGUUUUUCCAUCAAUCGAAAUAAGCUGUCCCUUGGGUUCUAUCAGUUGUGAGAGUCAAAUUAAAACAAUAAAGGGUUGGUGAGAAUUCAAAACAUUUUGAAGAAUAAUGAAUGCAUAAUAUUAAUCAAACAACCAAAAUUCAAAGCAAAUUAUGAAUAUAGACAAACAUCUAUUUAUUCUCCUAAGAUAGAAAUAGUUGCACCAUCUACCCACACGGUUUUUCCAUUGAACAAAAAAAUCUUAUUUCAGUACAUGAUAGUAGACCUCCAAUAAAGGUUUAUGUUAGUAGAAAUAAGCAAGGAAGUAGGGGAAUAAAUAAACAACAUAACAAUUCCAAUUAGAUAGUUAGUUAUUGUAUAAAACAUGCACGAGUUGACUAUAGCAUGUAGGAGAGCUCCAGGUCUCUGAAAAACCAAGGUAUACUGCUCUAUUCCUUCUUUUUGUCCCUUUCGAGUGCCCAACUCAUAGAACAAUACAAGAGUUUAGGGAUUAAGAUUUGAGAGUGUACUCAAUGGAGCAUCUUGUAAUUUGAGAGCAAUAGAACCUUAAGGCAUUGGGAGAUAGGCAGACCCUUGAAGUGCUGCCAUUGUUGUAAUCAAAGGGGAUUCUUUCUCAUUUUCAGUAUAACACACCAGUUGGUUCUAUCAAUUGGAAAAGUAAGCUAACUGAAUGAUAAUCUCACUGUGAGAAUAUCCCCUACUGAUUUGAGAAUUACUCUCACUCCUCAGUCCCAAUUUCUUUUUCAUAAAACCCACCAUUUUUCCCUCCUCCUCAAUAUGUUAUAUCCACAUUCUCUUCCCUGAUUCUCUCAAUCCCCACCACUCCUAGACUGCCACCUGUCAAGUUAGUUGCAUUCCCUCUUAACCACCAGUCAAGUUAGUUAGAAGUUAGUUAGACUGACCAAUUGUCAAGUUAGUUAAAAGUUAGUUAGGCUGCCACCUUUUCUCUUUCUUUUCCUUUUCCUACCCUUCCUUCUAUACACAUACUUUGGAGACCUAUCAAAACUCCCCCUACCAGUGCAACCUUGUCCUCAAGGUCAAAUUCGGGGAACACUUGAGAGAUUGCACUAGAAUCCUCCCAAGUGUUUUCAUCUUAAGACAGUCCCUCCCACACAAUCAGCACCUGUUCAAAUCCAUUCAAUAGUCUCCUCAUCCCAAAGCUUCCUUUGGUUGAACUUGUAGCUCCAACUCUGCAUUCAAACACUAGUAACGGCUGCACCGCAACACCAGUCCCUACUGCUUUCUUCAGCUGAGAUACAUGGAACACCGGGUGUAUUUUAGAAUCGGAUGGUAAUGCCAAUUUCUACGCUACAUUGCUAAUCUUGCCAAUAACUUCAAAUGGCCCAUAAAAUUGUGGACUCAACUUUUCAUCGGAUUGAUUAGUUAAGGACUUGAACCUAUAAUGUUGUGCCUUCAAGAACACCUAAUCCCCCAACUCAUAUGUCACCACUUUCCUCUUUUAUCUGCCCACUGUUCAUGCUAUUAUGCGCACUGCUCAACUGCUCCUUUAAGUUUCCGAACACAGAAUCACAUUCCCCUAGGGGUUGAUCCACCCCCUUCAACUAUCGCCCCCUCAUGAGGGUAUUUGCUCACACUGAUGCUUCCUCCCUCCCAUACAUUGCCUUAAAUGGGCUCAUGCCAAUGAAGCAUUGUAAUACCAGUUGAACCAAAAUUCAGCCCAUGCUAACCAUUUUACCCAUUGUUUCGGUUGUCUAUUCGCAAAACACCUCAAAUACGCCUACAAUGUCAAUUCGUUACCUCUGAUUGCCCAUUUGUUUGUGGAUGUUAAACCAAGCUGAACUUCAGUUUGGUCCCUGCUAAAGUGAACAACUCACGCCAAAAAAAAAGACUCAUGGACACCUGGGCUCGAUCAGAGAUGGUGGAAGUCGGAAACCCGUGUAACUCCACCACUUCAUUGAUGAACAUCUCAGCUACUGUCCUUGUUGUAUAAGGGCGACUCAAGGCCAUGAAAUGAGCUUCUUUGGACAGCCUAUCUACCACCACCAUUAUAGUGCCCUUCCUUUGUUGAUUUCGGUAGUCUUCCAAUAAAAUCCAUCGUGAGAACUUUUAAGAGAAUGUCGACCUCCCAAUGCCAUAAGCCCUAUUCCUCUCAAAUUACAAGAUGCUCCCCUCUCUAAUUCUCCUCCUAUCUAUUUAUAGGCAGAAUGCCUUAUAUAUUUGGCCUAACUAGCUCUCAACAAAACUACUAACUACCCCAUUAACUAAUUAACUAACCAGUAACAAUUUCUUAAGUAACAAUAAGAGACCUAACAAAUACCUGCAUAAGUACUGAGAAGGAAAUUAUGUAAGAUUGUAAUAAGAUCAUAUCAAAGAACUCAAAAGGUGCAUCAUAUAGUACAUGUAAGACCUUUUUAAUGAGUAAUCAGCAGCAUCAAUGCAAAGAUUACCUGAACUGUUCCCAUGAUGUGGCAACUAUGAUUGUUGACUAUGGCAACUAUCAGAUAAAAUAUCAUGCCAUGAGUCAUGACAUGACUCACAUGAUAAUUUAUGUGAUAGUUGCCAUAUUUUCGGUUGGAUAUGGCAACUAUCACAUAAAAUAUCAUGUCAUGAGUCAACAAUCAUUGAUGUAACACACAACGCUUCACAUCCGGUCAUGUAUGGAUGUUGUCAAUACCUUCCUUGUGAUGUUCAAAAGUACAAUUAAUGUACCAGCACAACUUCAUAAAUCAACACGAAAUGAAAUGUAGUUACCGAUUCGGAGCAAUUAGAUUAGUAGCUUGGAACCUAUUAAAAGUGAACGCGAUGCAGAGCCGGUUUCGACGCCGAAAUGUAUGGAAUGUGUAUUCGUUUUCGAAGCUAUGAUCGUGACAUUGAUUGGUAGAGAGAGAGAGAGAGAGAGACGUUAACAAUGGGAUAACGAACCUUUGAUAUUCGCUCUGCGUUUAGUUUUGAUACCGCUACGGUGAAGAUGACGGGGUAGUGGUUCAGUGCGGUCAUUUGCACUGUCUAAAGGUGGUGUCUACCCUUGGAAUACUGUAUCUUCGUAUGGUGUACUGUACAGAUAAAACGAAUACAAUGAGAUAGACCAUAAAAUACACGGAACCUCCAAACUCUGCUUCGUUUUCGGCUGUAUUGCGACAAGAGACUAAAAAUAAAACGGGCCAGGCCCAUUCGCUGUAGCAAAAUCAUUUCACUCAUUUUUGAAAAUUCUGAGAAGAUAUCGGAAAUUUUGAAACAAUUACCAAAAAUUUCAAAAAUUAUAUGUUUUAUACCGUAAAUAUCAAAUUUUCCGGGAUUUUUACCGGAAAUUCCAAAAUUUAUGAUAUUAAUUCUAACAAUUUUGUAAGAAAUUUCAAAUUUUUCGGUAUAAAAUCCUAUUUGGUUUCCCGGAAAUUUAAGAAUUUUCGCUAGUUAUAAACCUUGGUUUUUUUAUCGAAAAUUCUAAAAUUUCUGGUAGUUGUAAUUUUUUUUAAAAAAUUUCCUUCUUUUACAGUGAAAUAUAGAGGCAUGGACGACAUUAUUGUAGGUAGAACUAUCGAUAGAGCGGCAGACCAGACUAGGGUUGUUGAGGCUGAGUCUUCCCGGAUGCAUGCUGGACGAAUGGUUCCAACUGGUUCAUUCAACUUUGACAUCAUGCCGGCGAGAGAUGUGGUGUCAUCUGGAAGUCAAAACUCUAUGGGAGGUGAAACAUCGUUGAAGUACACGCCUUAAUAAAAAAUUGAGGAAGAGACAUUUUUUGAGAUGUUUUUAUCAAACACAGGUCACCCCCUAUUUAUACAACUUUGCACUUAUUCUGGACCACACAAAACUGUCGGGUAAUCACAAACAUCCAAAACUGUCGGUAAAAUCCUAAAUGUUUAAAAUUUCACACAAAUAACACUACCGGAAAUUCUAAUUUGGUUGAAAUUUUCGAUAUCGCCUAGUAAAUUUCAAAUUUCCAAAAUUAUUUGGAAAAUAUCGGAAAUUGUGAAAUUUCCGGUCUACCGGAAAUUUUGUUCGUACCAGAAAUUUUAUUUUUGCCUAUCAAAUAUUUCAAAUUUCAAUCAGGGACAAUUUUGACAAUAUAAAAGUAUGAGGGGUGUCAGGUUUAAUUGGGGGAUGUAAAGUUGAAUGCUCUUUUUUAGGGGGUUAUUUAUCACACCUCAUUUGUUACUAAUGCACUAUGAGGAAAUUCCAAAAAUAACUCUCGAUUUUAUUUUUAAAAUUCAGACUUACUUAAAACACAACUCACUUUUUAAAGUUAGAAAUAAUCCUCAAAGCUAGAUAUUAAAAAGCUUCAGAGAUUGAAAUUCAGAAGCGCCUAACUGACCGCAUCCAGAUUGGAAUCAGGACCAUACAAUUUUCAAAUUAAUCUGGAUUUCAAAUUUCAGAUUUAAUCCAAAGAUAGGAACCUGGGCACUUUUGUUUAAGUAAACUCACACUUUUCCCUUUUCCUUCACAUUUCCAUUUAUACAAAUGAGGAGACACAAAGAAUACUUUUACUAAUAAAAUAGAUGAGUUUUCUAGCUUUUGUUAAGAAAUAGGUGUAAUCUGAAUGAGCAAUGGUGCAGAAAGUAUGAGAACCAAGGUGGAAUUAUACAACACAUGAUGGCAAGCAAAAUAAUAUGAUUAUGCCUACCAUAUGGUGAUUUGGUCACAAAGAUCUUGGAAUUCAUCGGCUUCAACCUUCAAGAAGAAGAUUUUAAGGAAGAUGUGACAAAUAUAGGAAAAUUUGCACUACCAAUACUGAGGUAUGAGAUUAUUAAUGGAAAAAUAAUUUCAAAUUCUUCCAAAGGAAAGAAAAGAGGAAAGGGUUAGCAAAAUCUAGAAGCACCUAUGAAUCUAGAAUAUUUUGAGUAUGAUAUUCCUGAAAUUGCCUCUGUUGAAGACCUACUCGAGGAAAUAAUCAAGAGACUAAAGAGGACAAACGAGAAGAUCAAUUUCAUAAAAUUUCACUUUUCCCAAUACUUAAGACAUAUACCUUCAUGAAUGUUCACUGAUGAUGAUGAGCAUAGUGGCGAGUAGUUUCGCCUAUGUGUUUUAGUCUUUUAGUGUGUUUAAAUUCAAUCUUUUCUGCAUUAUUUAGUUUUAUAUUUUCUGUACUUUUAGCUCCAGUAUGUUUUGAAUUAAUAAAAUGUUUGUUUUUCUCUUUCUUAAAUGUUUGACUAAGUGCUUGAAUAUGUAAAUUUAUGUCUUGCAUCUUUACCUGCCUUUUUUAUUAUGACAAAGAGGGAGAAGUAUGCUCUUCGGGAGAGUAAAGUUUACUGUUUACUCGUGUGAAUGAGAGUUUAACCACUCAAACCUUUAUCUACCAGUUUUCUUUUAACAUCUUUGUGGAACCUUAUUUUGUAUGUGAUAUGCUUUUAACAAGGACGUCGACUUUUUAUGAUGACAACUAAUGUUUUGUGAUAAGUCAAGCAAGAACGGUUAAGCGGAUAAAGAUGCAAAGAUUAUCAUUAGGGUUUGAUGGACUUGAUUAUCUAAUGAUGGCAAUCAAAUAUAAAGUAAUGUAAAGCCUCAUUGUAGGCUACUCAAGAAAGUUUCCAUAGAAGUGAAGUAUAUGACAAGUCUUGAAGUACUGGAGAAUCCUCCUAAUUUAGUAGUGAGUGAACCUACUAUAAAAGUAUAAGCACUUUAUCAUAAAAGUGCAUGGAUAAAACGCAGGCACAUAAUGAAAUUUCAAAAUAUUUUUUACCAAAAACAAAAUACCUUCAAAAAUAUCUUGAAGUUUUGCCAAAUGAAUUAGGAACUGCAAAAUAGCUAUAGGAAAAAUUUUGACUUGGGAAAUUUGUCUAAUCGAUUAACUCAAUUCAAAAUUGAGCCACAAGCGAUUGGAACAUCACCUUAAUGAUGUGCAACAGUUAGAUAUCUUUUCCUUCCUUUUAUAAACUUAUAAUCGAUUUUAUUUCAAACUUCUAAUUGUUGUGAAUAUGUGUCAUUUGAUUAGAAUGUCAUAAAAUGCUUUUAUUGGAAUUUCUUUUUUUUAUCCAACCUUUAGCCUAUAAAUAGAGGUCUCGUUUCUCAUUUCAUUUCAUCCAAAAUCGUUUUUUGUCACCUCUCUCUCUCUCUCUCUCUCUCCCUAAAGUUAUAUUUAAUUUUCUCUCACUAAAGUUUUAGCCUAAGUGAUUUUAUGAGAAAAAUCCUUUUGUGAGUGAGGAGAUAAUUAUAAUUCUAGAAAGGGUGGAUUGUAAAUUCAUUGAGGGAAUUUUUCGUAUACACCUUGGUUGAAUAUUAUUCAUUUAGGGAUUUGUUUGGGUUGGAAGUUAAACCCGUAAAAAGCUUUGGUUUGGAUUGUGUGACUCAAUCCUAGUUUAGGUUGGAGAUCAGCCCAUGGUAAAAUCUCCUAGGUUCUUGGUCAUCCCGUUAUUAAAACCAAUAUAGGUUAAACCUCAGUCCAAUAUUAAAAGCUUCAUAGGUUCGAGAUUAGUUCAGUGUUAAAAUCUCACAGGUUAUUGGUUAUCUUGUAUAAAACCAAGGUUUAAGGUUUGUGAGCUCAUCCCAUAUACAAACUUGCAAGGUUUAGAAACUUGAAGACUAACCGCUCUAAGGUCCUCUAUAUAUCAUGGUUUUAAUCUUUUUCCCUUAACUUUAUAUAUCGUGGUUUUAAUCUUUUUCGAUGAACUCUUUUAAUGUCCUCAUUUUAUUUUCUGCCUUUUAUUUUUUCGCUGCUAAGUUUUUCAAAAAUGUUUUUAAAACCUGAUUUGAUUUCACAAAUAUUUUUAAAAUCACAUUUUUCCAAACCACACAAUUCACGCCCCUCUUGUGUAUGAAGUCUCAAGUCUAACAAGUGGCAUCAGAGUUAAUUCUUGUUUAACGACUAAUCUUCUCAAGAGGAAGAUGACUUUUGAAAAGAUAUAUUUUCUAAAUACACCACCACUUUUUAAUGAUAAUAGAUUUAAUAUUUGACAAGCUAGGUUUAGAAUUUUUCUUCAAAACAAAAAUCAUGAUUUGUGUAAAACUAUAGUGAAUGGUACGGUUUACCCUACUUGUCAAUAAAAUGAUGAAGUAGUAUAUAAACCUUAUUCCCAUUGGCUUGAAGAAGAAGAGAGAAAGAUAUGAAUAGAUCUUAAAGAGAAUAACUUUAUAAAAAUGUCUCUAGAUUAUAAUAAACUUUAUGAUGUCCACCAUUGUAAAACCUCCAAAGAAAUGUGGGAUGCUCUUGAAAGGAUAUGCGGAGGUUUUCCAAGUAUUGAAUAAGAGAAGUUGAACACACGAGACAAAGAAGAUAAUGAUACCCAUCAUAAAUGCUUUUCUAAUUUUAGAAAUACUGGAAAUUUUGUUGGGAACUCCAUUAAUAAAAAAUAUCUGAGAAUUAAAUAUUGGAAAUUUAAUCCAAUUCUUAAAUCAAAAGAUGAGAGCCUUCAUAAAUUUCAGGAAAAAUCAAGAAAGAAGGAAAUCUUAUAAAAGUUGAACAAUCCAGUUCAACCGCUGAAAGAUGAAGGAAUCCAAACUAAAGGAUCAUCAUCCUCACUUACUCCUAUCAUAUAACUCAUGUGAAACCCUUUGAAAGAACACACUCAGUAGUUAAAUGAUCCUCAGAAGAUUCAACAUCCAAUGAAGGAUCCUUUUGUUCAAAUAAUGAUAAAAAAAUGAAGAAGUUUCUUCAAUAAUCGAACGAAGAAGAGGAAGAGAAACAUCAACCUCGGGAGAAAUAUGGAAAAGUAUUCUUCCAACGAAGAAGAUGAAAUCUUCUUAAAGGCAUCUUACGAGGAAAUACAUUAUUCUUGGUAUCAAACCAUCUUAUGCACAGUUAUUUAAAAUGAAUGGUCAAUUAGUGGAAGAAAGUAAUAGACUGAGAAAGUGUACCCUAAGUCUCAAGGAAUCCCUAAGAUAUAUUAAGGAAAUAAACAAAUGUUUCAAAAUAGAUAUAACCUUGCUUAGAAACUCGAAAGAAGAAUUUAAGCAGUGUGACUCCCUUAUAAAAGAAGUAACUAGGCUUCGUGAAACCUUAGGAAAGUUUACGCAUGGGAAUGAAAAGCUUAACUUGAUUUUAUCUAGUCAAAAGCAUUCCCUAAAUACAAAUGGAAUGUGAUUUAAAAUGGAUAGACAACCUAGGAAAGGUGUAGAUCAAAAGGAAAAUAAACCUCUCAUUUUUAAUCGAUAAAACGAUCUCAGGACUUAAGUAUACAAUAUAUAUGAAAUCUCUGAGAUGAGGAUAAAACGAUAAAGGAAAAUGUCAACAGUUUUGAUAAAAGAAAGUUAUUAGAGAAUAUCUCAAAAGAUAUGAUCCUAAAUAAUAAGUUGAAUGAAUAUGUUUGUGAUGGACUUAUUCAUUUUUUGGUUUUACCCACUCUCACACCCAACAAUCUGUGAAGGAGGAUAUACCAUUUUCGUGUCUUCCUUUUUGGGAAAUAUUUAUUAAGACUUCUUGAUAAAAGAGGUAAAAUUAUUUUAAGGUUGAAAUAAUCAGAAAUAUUUGGUUAAACCCUUAAAAUAAUAUUUUUUUAAUUUUUUUCUCAUCUAAAUAAGUUAUUCUCUAACCAUAAGUGAGUUUUUUGGCUUCACAUUGCAAGAGGUGCAAACAAAAGCCAAAUAAAGGUACAUAACACAAAGCCCAAAACAAAAAAUGUUGAAUUGGAUCAAAACAAUCGAUUGGCACUUGUGUCCAAUCGACUAGAAUGCUCAAAAAUUAAAAAAUUCAAACAUUGGAUCUCACCACAAUAGCAAGUAGGAUGAGUAAUUACGACAACAGUUACUUGCAACAGAUAACUCCUUUUUUCCAAUUUCUAAUUGAUUAGGAUAAUUUGUUGGAUAGUGCCUAUAAAAGGAGGUAACUUCACAUCCUUAUCAUCUCAUCAUUUUCAUACAUGUUCAUUGCAUUAUAAACACAUUAGCUUACUCACUCAUCAUCAUCACCUUAGAAAUGGCCAAAAAGAGAACUUGUUCUUCCUAACCUCGAUAUUCAUACUUCUCUAAAGAUUUCACCUCUCAAGCUCAAGUAACAAACUACAACCUCUACUACUUCGAUAGAUAAAUCUUCCCCUAUCACUAUUUAGAUGAAUAUCUCUUCUAAGAUUGCUCCUUCAUGGAAGCAUUCACUACUGCAGGAUUGAGGAACUUUGUUUUUGAGAAUCCGUCUGAGAGGUACCCAGAUUUUGGUAAAAAUGUUAUAUGUAAAUAUCUCCUAUACAAAUGGAUUCAUUUACUCAUAUGUGCAACCUGCCUUUCAUAAAGCAAGAUUAUGAUCAAAUGGAUCUUGAAGGCAAUGAAUUUAACUCUGACACUCUUGCUCACUCGCUCCUUAUUAAUCCCACUUCCACUAUUCCAUUUACCUUCAAUGUUGGACUUAUUUUCCAAAAAUAUUAGACUAAUCCACUAUACCAUGAGCCGUGUUCGGUUCCCAAGGAAGGAUAACUAUAUCACCCUAUUAAAAUCAAAUAUCCCUAUUGUCUGGUUCUUAGAAAACCAAAUCCCGAAAAACUAGGCAGAUGCAGUUCUUCAUCAUAUGAUAGAUAGCAAAAGUAAAAACAACAUAUUACCCUAUGAUAAAUUGAUCACAAAAAUCCUUCA